Molecule: non-coding RNA, 45 nt
Filed under: Schistosoma margrebowiei
Lineage: Eukaryota; Metazoa; Platyhelminthes; Trematoda; Strigeidida; Schistosomatidae
Source: RNAcentral
AUCCGAUCGACGAGUCCCAAAUAGGACGAGAUGCAUGUCCUGGAU